This 364-nucleotide long non-coding RNA is filed under the name Populus trichocarpa (black cottonwood). RNAcentral describes it as "long non-coding RNA (PTRI_LNC000279)". The record is from RNAcentral. Lineage: Eukaryota; Viridiplantae; Streptophyta; Magnoliopsida; Malpighiales; Salicaceae.
AGGAUGCAACUGCUGCUGCGGAUGCUUUGGAUAAGUUGAGUGUUGAAGAGAAGAAAACUGAGGAGAAAGCUGUCGAAGAGUCACCAACUGCAGCCAAGGAAGAGGAAACUAAGACCUGUGAAGAUAAGAAAGAGGAGAAGCCCGAUCCCUCAACUUGAGGGUUGAUUGUUUGUUUUCUCAUUCCCUUGGCGGUAUGAUGAAGUUGGGUGUCAACCACAUGUCUCGUCCAUUUUGACAAUUUUCUCAUGCUCUUGAAAUUUGUUGGACCUGGUUUAUGGGUGACGAAUGGUUUGGGGUCUAUGCAUUCUGCAGUUUGAUUCUGCUAGCUUUUGGUCAAACUUUGGGUCAUGUUUGCAUGUUGAGG